CAUUAGAUGACUGAAAAGCAAGUAAUGGUCUCUUAAACCAAAAUAUAGUAAAUUAGUGAAUACUUCUAAUGA
Molecule: transfer RNA, 72 nt
Filed under: Synendotendipes impar
Lineage: Eukaryota; Metazoa; Arthropoda; Insecta; Diptera; Chironomidae
Also listed under: 1 other name
Description: tRNA-Lys
Source: RNAcentral